GCCCUCGUGGAUCAGCUGGUAUAAAUCGCUCCGCACAGAUAGUAAACCACAUUAUCAUCCUAUCGGAGAGCCGCGGGUUCGAUCCCGCCGAGGGCA
Non-coding RNA from Mycena leptocephala, 96 nucleotides. The record is from the annotation of a GenBank genome assembly. Lineage: Eukaryota; Fungi; Basidiomycota; Agaricomycetes; Agaricales; Mycenaceae.